Molecule: transfer RNA, 73 nt
Organism: Ovis aries (sheep)
Lineage: Eukaryota; Metazoa; Chordata; Mammalia; Artiodactyla; Bovidae
Rfam family: tRNA
About the family: Transfer RNA (tRNA) molecules are approximately 80 nucleotides in length. Their secondary structure includes four short double-helical elements and three loops (D, anti-codon, and T loops).
Source: Rfam
UUCCUGAUGGUCCAAUGGUUAAGAUUCUGUGCUUCCAAUGCAGAGGUUGUGGGUUUGAUCCCCAGUUGGGGAA